Molecule: long non-coding RNA, 259 nt
Filed under: Elaeis guineensis (African oil palm)
Lineage: Eukaryota; Viridiplantae; Streptophyta; Magnoliopsida; Arecales; Arecaceae
Description: long non-coding RNA (EGUI_LNC048448)
Source: RNAcentral
AGUAUUAGGUGUUUGAUAUUUUUAUUAAAAAUAUUCGAUGCACCGAAAACCAUAAUACCCAAGAAUUCUUGACUAUAACAAUCAAAGUACAAUAAAUGUAAAUUUGGAUCAAAAGAAUACCUGUAGUGCUAAUUUAAUUUUUGCAAGGAACCCAAGCAUCCACGCUCCAACGAUAAUCUACAUGAAAAUUAAACCAAGAAUAGUGCUCUUUUUUUACCUUACUUCUAGAGUUCUAGCCCCUAGAACUCGACUAGCCACC